RNAcentral lists this Y RNA (112 nucleotides) under Prolemur simus (greater bamboo lemur). Its description in RNAcentral is "Y RNA (ENSPSMG00000003156.1)". It matches the Rfam family "Y RNA". From Rfam's summary of the family: Y RNAs are components of the Ro ribonucleoprotein particle (Ro RNP), in association with Ro60 and La proteins. The Y RNAs and Ro60 and La proteins are well conserved, but the function of the Ro RNP is not known. The record is from Rfam by way of RNAcentral. Lineage: Eukaryota; Metazoa; Chordata; Mammalia; Primates; Lemuridae.
GGCUGUUCCCAAGGUAGUGAGUUGUCCCACCUGAUUGUUCACAGUCAGUUACAGAUGGAUCUCCUUGUUCUACUCUUUCCCCCUUCUCACCAUGGCACUUGACUAGUCUUAA